UACGUAGGUGGCAAGCGUUGUCCGGAUUUACUGGGCGUAAAGGAUGCGUAGGCGGACAUUAAGUCAGAUGUGAAAAUACCCCGAGCUUAACUUGGGUGCUGCAUUUGAAACUGGGUGUCUAGAGUGCAGGAGAGGUAAGUGGAAUUCCUAGUGUAGCGGUGAAAUGCGUAGAGAUUAGGAAGAACACCAGUGGCGAAGGCGACUUACUGGACUGUAACUGACGCUGAGGCAUGAAAGCGUGGGGAGCAAACAGG
RNAcentral lists this ribosomal RNA (254 nucleotides) under uncultured bacterium. Its description in RNAcentral is "partial 16S ribosomal RNA". It matches the Rfam family "Bacterial small subunit ribosomal RNA", at positions 524 to 776 of the family's 1533-position model. The record is from RNAcentral.